This 349-nucleotide transfer-messenger RNA is filed under the name Armatimonadota. RNAcentral describes it as "UBA1398 sp002305165 Standard tmRNA". It matches the Rfam family "transfer-messenger RNA". Rfam says of the family: Bacterial tmRNA, also known as 10Sa RNA or SsrA, is named for its dual tRNA and mRNA-like properties. Its role is to liberate the mRNA from a stalled ribosome. Lineage: Bacteria; Bacillati. The record is from RNAcentral. RNAcentral also lists the same sequence under 1 other name.
GGGGGCGACCGGUCUCGACGGAGUGCUGGAGCGACGGUCACUGCGAGUCGAGCGGCCUACCAUCUCGUAAACUUGGUAGGGAAACAACAACCGCCAACAACAACCUGGCGCUAGCGGCUUAGGCCGCUCGUCCUCCCCGGUUUGGCCGAUGGGCUGGGGACAGGGCGUCAUAAACAGCGGCUUACCGAGCGUUGCCGUCUACCCGGCGCGAGGGACACCCCAGGUAGGCUAGCCGGGAUCUAAGCCCGCCCGCGGGCGUGGCCCCGGCGAACCCAAAACGCGGGAUACACUCGUAGAUGUGGCCGGGCUCUCACUUCGGACGCGGGUUCGAUUCCCGCCGCCUCCACCA